This 492-nucleotide ribosomal RNA is filed under the name uncultured bacterium. RNAcentral describes it as "partial 16S ribosomal RNA". It matches the Rfam family "Bacterial small subunit ribosomal RNA", at positions 29 to 507 of the family's 1533-position model. The record is from RNAcentral.
AGUGAACGCUGGCGGUAGGCCUAACACAUGCAAGUCGAACGGCAGCACAGUAAGAGCUUGCUCUUACGGGUGGCGAGUGGCGGACGGGUGAGGAAUACAUCGGAAUCUACUUUUUCGUGGGGGAUAACGUAGGGAAACUUACGCUAAUACCGCAUACGACCUACGGGUGAAAGCAGGGGAUCUUCGGACCUUGCGCGAUUGAAUGAGCCGAUGUCGGAUUAGCUAGUUGGCGGGGUAAAGGCCCACCAAGGCGACGAUCCGUAGCUGGUCUGAGAGGAUGAUCAGCCACACUGGAACUGAGACACGGUCCAGACUCCUACGGGAGGCAGCAGUGGGGAAUAUUGGACAAAGGGCUCAAGCCUGAUCCAGCCAUACCGCGUGGGUGAAGAAGGCCUUCGGGUUGUAAAGCCCUUUUGUUGGGAAAGAAAAGCAGCAGGUUAAUACCCCGCUGUUCUGACGGUACCCAAAGAAUAAGCACCGGCUAACUUCGUG